CCUACGGGAGGCAGCAGUGAGGAAUAUUGGUCAAUGGUCGGGAGACUGAACGAGCCAAGCCGCGUGAGGGAUGAAGGUACAGAGUAUCGUAAACCUCUUUUGUCAGGGAACAAAGGCGGGGACGUGUCCCCGGAUGAGUGUACCUGAAGAAAAAGCAUCGGCUAACUCCGUGCCAGCAGCCGCGGUAAUACGGAGGAUGCGAGCGUUAUCCGGUUUUAUUGGGUUUAAAGGGUGCGCAGGCGGUCUGUUAAGUCAGCGGUCAAAGCCCGGGGCUCAACCCCGGCCCGCCGUUGAAACUGGCAGUCUAGAGUUGGAGAGAAGUAUGCGGAAUGCGCGGUGUAGCGGUGAAAUGCAUAGAUAUCGCGCAGAACUCCGAUUGCGAAGGCAGCAUGCCGGCUCCACACUGACGCUGAGGCACGAAAGCGUGGGUAUCGAACAGGAUUAGAUACCCGUGUAGUC
Molecule: ribosomal RNA, 459 nt
Filed under: uncultured bacterium
Lineage: Bacteria
Description: partial 16S ribosomal RNA
Rfam family: Bacterial small subunit ribosomal RNA
Source: RNAcentral